RNAcentral lists this long non-coding RNA (3190 nucleotides) under Strigops habroptila (Kakapo). RNAcentral describes it as "lncRNA (ENSSHBG00005003357.1)". The record is from RNAcentral. Lineage: Eukaryota; Metazoa; Chordata; Aves; Psittaciformes; Psittacidae.
AGAUGAGCUGUUAGGCAGAAGUUCUUCCCCGUGAGGGUGAGGCCCUGGCACAGGUUGCCCGGAGAAGCUGUGGCUGCCCCAUCCCUGGCAGUGUUCAAGGCCAGCUUGGACGGGGGUUUGAACAACCUGCUCUAGUGGAAGGUGUCUCUGCCUGUGGCAGGGGUUUGGACCUGGAUGAGCUUUAAAGUCCCUUCCAACCCAAACACCAUUCUGUGAUUUUAAGGUCUUUACUAAAACCCUGGGGUGUAGGGACCCUCACCCCAUCCAGACCAGAGGCCCUGCACACCUCUGGGCUGCAAGCAGCCCCUGGGAUCCCUUCCCAUGCCAGGACAUUCCUGCCGCCACAGUUAAUGCUGCACCUGAGGAGCUGUGAGCUUCAGGAGCACCUAUAGUUGAGGGUAAAGAAAGUCUGGGGUAAGUUGUCCUACACGGAGAGCUCAGGAAAAGGCUUUUAACCAUUAACUCCUACCUACCCACCUAAAGAUUAACCUCACUCACCUGCACUGGUGGCUGCAAACCAGAGCCCUUUCCACUCACUGGGAGAAAACACCCAGUUAAUGGAAGAAAAGCAGUAAGAGGCUGAUGAGAGCUUAAAGAGCUUUAUGAUAUUGCACCUCAGAGGCAGCAGUCAAAUAAAAGAAACCUGUGGGCUUCAGCUGGAGGUCUCAGGGGUGAAUAUUCAGAUGCUUGGUGGGGUGGGAGAGGGCCAGGAGUGCUGGAAGGCUGCAGCAAGAGGCUUUCUGCCUCUAAGUGAUGCAUUUCUACCCUCCUAGUAACUAUAGCUCCAGUUUCAUAUAUAUCAUCCUGCGAAAACAAUAGCUCUGGUUCCCAGAGCCAAGAAGAAGUGAAGAUGGGACAGUCCCAGGACUGGGGACACACAGCCAGCAUCCCUGACCAGCCUCGCGUCCCGCCACCCUGGCUGGGAAGGAGCUAGGGACCAUUUGCAGAUUGCCCUUUGCUCUUCCUCCCCAGCUGCACUCUCUCCUCGGAUUGGUCUCAUUGGGUUGUGGGAAGGGCUGGCUGGUCAUGGUCUUCGUUUUCCAUUUGUUUCAGAGGCACUAAGCCCCUUUGCCCCCUGAAACAAAAGGAGAAGGAAAACAUUAAUGAGCUUGCUGGCAGUUUGGUGCCAGAGCAGAUCUCCUGCUGACCCAAUCACUCCCUUCCUCAGGCACAUCAAGAUGCAUCAAGGCACCAAAGGGAGCUGUAACACAGUCAGCUGCACACAGACGUGUGACUGACCUCACAUGCCCACUGCCUUUGCCUCUUUCCAAGGUAAUGCUCAGGUCUCCACUUUGUACAGACACACAUAGAAAUGCCUUCCCGCAGGACUUCCCACUUGCGAUCCCACCAAGCAGCUGCUGGCUCGGUGGGAUCUACCUCCCGGCAUAUCCCUGGGGGGAUGCACAGGGAUAUGUGUGUACCAUGGCAGGUCCCUGCUUCCACCAGCAGCUCCCACAGCCUAACCAACCGCAGUUUCCUGGGCAGCACUUGCACAGGGGUGUGGGGCACCUCCCCUGCCCUGUCCAUCCCUAGUGGCAGCCAUGUCUUCUGUUUCCCUCAACAUCCCAGAAGGUGGCUGGUGUGGGGAGCCAACCCCGUCUGCCUGCAGAGCCUGCACUCAUUCCCCUCCGCGGGCAGGCAAGAAGCAGUGUGAACCCUACGAUGUUUUCCUACACCAUGCAGACUCACAUCCAACACAGCUAAUCACAGGAUAUUGUUUUCCCGAAUUAUCUCCUUAGAUAUCACAGGCUUGGCAAACACCUUCCAGUACAAUAACAACCAUGCCAAAGGAGUGAUGAAGGCAGCAGGUUUGAAUUUCCUUGUAAUGCUUUGAUCAAAUCCCAGAGUUUGGCAAUCAUCUUCCAGCACAUCUUGAGGACAGGCAGUGAUAUCAGCACUAACCUCAAAACCUGAGGCCCAAGGAUGGGGGAUGCUGUGCUCAGAGACUCCCACAGCCUGCGUUUUGCCAAGCCUGAGCCACAACCCUGGAUCUGCUCCCACUUCCCAAGCAACAGCUCCUUAUGGCUUCCUGGGGGGACCUCAGGGAUCUCAGGACUCCUGAGAUGGCACCCAUGGCAGACUGCGGGAUAAAAGCCUCUUCCCAACAACCUUUCCAAUAACCUUCCCAAUAACCUCGACAAGCAAACCGGCACGGUGAGAUAGAGCAACCACUUACUUUCUUCCACAGGACUCAAAGUUGCUGCAUCCACUCCCUGCCAGUAGGAAAAGGGAAACAUGAAAAUACCGUGUUUCGAUAACCCCAAAUUUUUACUCUGAACACCCCAUUUUCAGUAAAAGUGGCCCUUUUAUGCUAAAUAGCCCAUAUGAUUUCUUGGCGCAUGUUGGUUGGCUUGGCCAUGGGGACAAGCAUCCCCACACAUGAUGGGAAAUGGUAGGAGCACAUCAGUGAGCUUGCCGCGGUGCAAGGGAAGGAAAGGACAGCAUGCAAAGCUACUGCUCCUGCUUCUCCUUAGAGCUGGACCACACCCCCGUGAGGUGACAGGACCUGGGCACCACCCAGUGCUGCACGGGAAGGCAAGGAAACGGUAAAGAAAGCACAAACUAUGGGAGCUCUCGCUGCUCAGAAGCCAAAACCUGGUUUUCAUUAACUAAGCAGGUCGUGGGGAUUUGUUUUCUUGAAGGAGCAGGGGCACAGCCUAAACCACAUCAGGUCCCUGCACUGAUCUAGUGGUAUGUGCAUGGCAGGGGACACCCUCCCUGCUGGGGACAUGGUGUUCACGUGCCCUCUGCCUAUCCAGCACACAGCAUACCUGUGCCUCCUGCUUUUCCCUGGUCACUGGCUGCGGCAUCACCUUCUCCAGCCCCUGGACCAACCAGGCAAACACCCUGGUGACCAGAAACCACAGUUAGACCUGGCUGCCGGGCCCUCUGCUCCCAUAGCACUGCCCCUCUGGCCAGGUACCCACACAGAAGCUGCCAUUGUGGUUACCUGCUGCCAUCCCCAGCCAAGGACCGAGGGAUGAGGGUGGCCACCGGCUCGGGCUGCACCUCAGCCGCUGCUGGCUCCACUGCUGCUGGGGUGCUCUGGGCAGCUGAAAUGCUGCUGUUUGGCUUUGCCUGGGCUUUAGUUCCUUUUGUGCCUGCUCAGGUUUAUUGGGAAGGAGAAGGGGGACAGGCAAUGCAGCAGUCAUCAUAUAAAUUGUUGGGGAAGGGGAGCAAGCAAGGAAGG